Molecule: unclassified non-coding RNA, 415 nt
Filed under: Hevea brasiliensis (rubber tree)
Lineage: Eukaryota; Viridiplantae; Streptophyta; Magnoliopsida; Malpighiales; Euphorbiaceae
Source: RNAcentral
GAGGAAUAGAUCUAGAGCUGUAACUGGAAAACAAGCAUUAAUGGCAGAUCAAACCUCUCAAUCUUCUUCUUCUUCAUCUGCAUCUUCUUACACAAAAUCACAUCAAAAUUCCUUCUUUGGAUCUGCAAGAUUCAAAGCUUUUUCAUCAACAACUGAUCACUCUGUUAUUAGCCCCACCUCUGUUCUUGAUUCCAAACCAUUUUUCUCUUUACAAAAUCCCUUCAAACCAAAUCCCAAUAAUACUCCCAAAAAGAAAAUUGCAAUUUUCCCAGAAAACAAUCACAAAAUUUCAGGCCCAAAAAAGCCCAUUGGGCUUGCUUUAAUUGAGGACAAAAAUGAUUCCAAGCCCACUAAGAGUGUCAUUUUUAGUGCUAAACUUCGUGUUCAAAUCCCUGCGCUGGAAUCCACCGUGGAC